GCCUGGAUAGCUCAGUUGGUUAAGCGUCCGACUUCAGCUCAGGUCCUGAUGUCACAGUUCGUGAGUUCGAGCCCCGCUUCAGGCU
Molecule: transfer RNA, 85 nt
Filed under: Felis catus (domestic cat)
Lineage: Eukaryota; Metazoa; Chordata; Mammalia; Carnivora; Felidae
Rfam family: tRNA
About the family: Transfer RNA (tRNA) molecules are approximately 80 nucleotides in length.
Source: Rfam by way of RNAcentral